UUCGUGGUUCAAUCUGAGCGCGCUCCGAGAAUAAAUACUAUUAUCUCAUUUUAAUAAGACUGGUCCCUGUCUAUUUUAUGCAAAUAAGAAUCUUACAAAUUCUUAGAAACAGACAGAAUGAUUUUAAUUAAUGAACACAUAUAGGAAUUAUUGAAUUCCAUUGACAAUUGGUCCUUUGAGCGGAUUUCUAAACCUGUAGUACGCCGAAAACCGUGCACCGGCAGGUCUGGACCCAUUAUUUAAAGACCUGGCGUCUGAAUUGAGGUUCAAAGAACAGGCCGGUAUAUAUAUAUAUCUAAGGUCGACAGAGACGGUGACGGAUUCUCAUGAACAUUGCUUUUCCCAGUCUGCAAGACGACGUAUACCAAGCAUACAGAGGUAAUCCUGUUGAUUAAAUAGUGGUGGUGAGAAUACGGCUGGAGGAGCUACGCGCACAACCACCACCCACAUAUGUGGAGCCUGCUGGAGCCAACGGAGGGAUAAUAGAGGUAGAGAAAGUUAGGGCACCUGCAAUUUAGGGCCAAGCUUCAUUAUGAGCUCAGACCGAGCAAGCAACGGUCAAGCGGGGCAUCUCGUUGAACUCGGCACAGCCUAGAGAUUAUGGUAAUGCCAUUGCAGGCUCUGCAUGUCUUUAAGCACCGCACUUUGUCACUCCAUCCUUGCUGUGUG
Long non-coding RNA from Oncorhynchus gorbuscha (pink salmon), 669 nucleotides. RefSeq lists it as uncharacterized. The transcript is spliced from 3 exons. The record is from RefSeq and is a predicted model, not a curated record. Lineage: Eukaryota; Metazoa; Chordata; Actinopteri; Salmoniformes; Salmonidae.